This 87-nucleotide transfer RNA is filed under the name Spirochaeta sp. LUC14_002_19_P3. It matches the Rfam family "tRNA". Rfam says of the family: Transfer RNA (tRNA) molecules are approximately 80 nucleotides in length. Their secondary structure includes four short double-helical elements and three loops (D, anti-codon, and T loops). Lineage: Bacteria; Pseudomonadati; Spirochaetota; Spirochaetia; Spirochaetales; Spirochaetaceae. The record is from Rfam by way of RNAcentral.
GGAGAGGUGCGAGAGCGGCCGAAUCGGGCUCCCUGCUAAGGAGUUGUGCGGGUAACCGUACCGUGGGUUCGAAUCCCACCCUCUCCG